This 522-nucleotide ribosomal RNA is filed under the name uncultured eukaryote. RNAcentral's name for it is "bacterial SSU rRNA". It matches the Rfam family "Eukaryotic small subunit ribosomal RNA", at positions 21 to 549 of the family's 1831-position model. The record is from RNAcentral.
UAGUCAUAUGCUUGUCUCAAAGACUAAGCCAUGCAUGUCUAAGUAUAAAUGCUAUACAAUGAAACUGCGAAUGGCUCAUUAAAACAGUUAUAGUUUAUUUGGUAAUCGAAUUUACAUGGAUAACCGUGGUAAUUCUAGAGCUAAUACAUGCUGAUAAGCCCGACUUCUCGGAAGGGCCGUAUUUAUUAGAUAACAGACCAAUAUUCCCUGGUGUCUAUUGUGGUGACUCAUAGUAACUGAUCGGGUCGCACGGGCGUGCCCGCGACAAACCAUUCAAGUUUCUGCCCCAUCAGCUUUCGAUGGUAGUGUAUUGGACUACCAUGGCUUUUACGGGUAACGGAGGAUUAGGGUUCGAUUCCGGAGAGGGAGCCUGAGAAACGGCUACCACAUCUAAGGAAGGCAGCAGGCGCGUAAAUUACCCAAUCCUGACACAGGGAGGUAGUGACAAGAAAUAACAAUACAGGGCAUCCAUGUCUUGUAAUUGGAAUGAGUAAAAUUUAAAUCUCUCUACGAGUAUCAAUU